UGCAGUCGAGCGGUAGGCCCUUCGGGGUACACGAGCGGCGAACGGGUGAGUAACACGUGAGCAACCUGCCCCUGACUCCGGGAUAAGCGGUGGAAACGCCGUCUAAUACCGGAUACGACCCGCCACCUCAUGGUGGAGGGUGGAAAGUUUUAUCGGUCAGGGAUGGGCUCGCGGCCUAUCAGCUUGUUGGUGGGGUAACGGCCUACCAAGGCGAUUACGGGUAGCCGGCCUGAGAGGGCGACCGGCCACACUGGGACUGAGACACGGCCCAGACUCCUGCGGGAGGCAGCAGUGGGGAAUAUUGCACAAUGGGCGAAAGCCUGAUGCAGCGACGCCGCGUGGGGGAUGACGGCCUUCGGGUUGUAAACCUCUUUUACCACCAACGCAGGCUCCACGUUCUCGUGGGGUUGACGGUAGGUGGGGAAUAAGGACCGGCUAACUACGUGCCAGCAGCCGCGGUAAUACGUAGGGUCCGAGCGUUGUCCGGAAUUAUUGGGCGUAAAGAGCUCGUAGGCGGCAUGUCGCGUCUGCUGUGAAAGACCGGGGCUUAACUCCGGUUCUGCAGUGGAUACGGGCAUGCUAGAGGUAGGUAGGGGAGACUGGAAUUCCUGGUGUAGCGGUGAAAUGCGCAGAUAUCAGGAGGAACACCGGUGGCGAAGGCGGGUCUCUGGGCCUUACCUGACGCUGAGGAGCGAAAGCA
Molecule: ribosomal RNA, 700 nt
Filed under: Bacillota bacterium
Lineage: Bacteria; Bacillati; Bacillota
Description: bacterial SSU rRNA
Rfam family: Bacterial small subunit ribosomal RNA
Source: RNAcentral